UACGUAGGGUGCGAGCGUUAAUCGGAAUUACUGGGCGUAAAGCGUGCGCAGGCGGUUCUAUAAGACAGAUGUGAAAUCCCCGGGCUUAACCUGGGAACUGCGUUUGUGACUGUAGGACUCGAGUGUGGCAGAGGGGGGUGGAAUUCCACGUGUAGCAGUGAAAUGCGUAGAUAUGUGGAGGAACAUCGAUGGCGAAGGCAGCCCCCUGGGUCAACACUGACGCUCAUGCACGAAAGCGUGGGGAGCAAACAGG
Molecule: ribosomal RNA, 253 nt
Filed under: Sulfurisoma sp.
Lineage: Bacteria; Pseudomonadati; Pseudomonadota; Betaproteobacteria; Nitrosomonadales; Sterolibacteriaceae
Also listed under: 1 other name
Description: partial 16S ribosomal RNA
Rfam family: Bacterial small subunit ribosomal RNA
Source: RNAcentral